RNAcentral lists this ribosomal RNA (481 nucleotides) under Enterobacter hormaechei. Its description in RNAcentral is "bacterial SSU rRNA". It matches the Rfam family "Bacterial small subunit ribosomal RNA", at positions 920 to 1401 of the family's 1533-position model. Lineage: Bacteria; Pseudomonadati; Pseudomonadota; Gammaproteobacteria; Enterobacterales; Enterobacteriaceae. The record is from RNAcentral.
CCCGCACAAGCGGUGGAGCAUGUGGUUUAAUUCGAUGCAACGCGAAGAACCUUACCUACUCUUGACAUCCAGAGAACUUAGCAGAGAUGGUUUGGUGCCUUCGGGAACUCUGAGACAGGUGCUGCAUGGCUGUCGUCAGCUCGUGUUGUGAAAUGUUGGGUUAAGUCCCGCAACGAGCGCAACCCUUAUCCUUUGUUGCCAGCGGUUAGGCCGGGAACUCAAAGGAGACUGCCAGUGAUAAACUGGAGGAAGGUGGGGAUGACGUCAAGUCAUCAUGGCCCUUACGAGUAGGGCUACACACGUGCUACAAUGGCGCAUACAAAGAGAAGCGACCUCGCGAGAGCAAGCGGACCUCAUAAAGUGCGUCGUAGUCCGGAUUGGAGUCUGCAACUCGACUCCAUGAAGUCGGAAUCGCUAGUAAUCGUGGAUCAGAAUGCCACGGUGAAUACGUUCCCGGGCCUUGUACACACCGCCCGUCACA